ACUCCUACGGGAGGCAGCAGUAGGGAAUCUUCCGCAAUGGGCGAAAGCCUGACGGAGCAACGCCGCGUGAGUGAUGAAGGUCCUAGGAUCGUAAAACUCUGUUAUUAGGGAAGAACAAGGAUGUAAGUAACUGGCACCCCUGACGGACCUAAUCAGAAAGCCAC
Molecule: ribosomal RNA, 164 nt
Filed under: uncultured Staphylococcus sp.
Lineage: Bacteria; Bacillati; Bacillota; Bacilli; Caryophanales; Staphylococcaceae
Description: partial 16S ribosomal RNA
Rfam family: Bacterial small subunit ribosomal RNA
Source: RNAcentral